AACGAACGCUGGCGGCGUGCCUAACACAUGCAAGUCGAGCGCGAAAGUUCCUUCGGGGAUGAGUAGAGCGGCGGACUGGUGAGUAACGCGUGGGUGAUCUGCCUCUGGGAUGGGGAUAGCCAUUAGAAAUAGUGGGUAAUACCGAAUACGUUCGUCGGGCUGUGGCCUGACGAGGAAAGGCGCUUCGGCGCCACCCGGAGAUGAGCCCGCGUCCCAUUAGCUAGUUGGUGAGGUAACGGCCCACCAAGGCGAUGAUGGGUAGGCGGCCUGAGAGGGUGUACGGCCACACUGGGACUGAGACACGGCCCAGACUCCUACGGGAGGCAGCAGUGGGGAAUAUUGGACAAUGGGGGAAACCCUGAUCCAGCCAUGCCGCGUGAAUGAUGAAGGCCUCGG
Molecule: ribosomal RNA, 396 nt
Filed under: uncultured bacterium
Lineage: Bacteria
Description: bacterial SSU rRNA
Rfam family: Bacterial small subunit ribosomal RNA
Source: RNAcentral